This is a long non-coding RNA of Carassius carassius (crucian carp), 369 nucleotides long. RefSeq lists it as uncharacterized. The transcript is spliced from 3 exons. The record is from RefSeq and is a predicted model, not a curated record. Lineage: Eukaryota; Metazoa; Chordata; Actinopteri; Cypriniformes; Cyprinidae.
AAAUAUCUUUGAGGGACACAAGAAAGACCGGCAGUUGUCUCUUGAUACUCAAGCUUUGUAGACUAAACUUUACAUGUGGGUGGCAAAAAUGAUUGCUCUGUGUGUGGUCCAUGGAGGAGUCAGUCCACAUUUCUUUUCCGAAAGGCUUUUCCAUCUAAUCUGUGGGAUACCAACACCCCCGGCCACGGUGGAUGAAGUUGGUGACCAUACUUUCAGGGAACAGUUAAUAAAAAUACAGGAAGCAACAACAGUCCAAAAGGCGAACAGUGCAAUUGCAGAGGCAGCAGAUAGUCUCAGCAUUAUAGGUGCCUUAAGACAUGUGUCCAGUCUGGAGGAGAAGGACUCCCUUGUCCAGUCAGCUGCAGACUU